AACAUACCAUAUUGAAUAUACCGGUUCUCGUUAGAUCUCCGAAAGUCAAGCAUCAUUGGGCGCGGUCAGUAGCCACCUGGGAACACCGCGUGCCGUUG
Caerostris extrusa is the source of this 98-nucleotide non-coding RNA. The record is from the annotation of a GenBank genome assembly. Lineage: Eukaryota; Metazoa; Arthropoda; Arachnida; Araneae; Araneidae.